UACGUAGGGUGCGAGCGUUGUCCGGAAUUAUUGGGCGUAAAGGGCUCGUAGGCGGUUUGUCGCGUCGGCCGUGAAAUCUCCACGCUUAACGUGGAGCGUGCGGUCGAUACGGGCAGACUAGAGUUCGGUAGGGGAGACUGGAAUUCCUGGUGUAGCGGUGAAAUGCGCAGAUAUCAGGAGGAACACCGGUGGCGAAGGCGGGUCUCUGGGCCGAAACUGACGCUGAGGAGCGAAAGCGUGGGGAGCAAACAGG
This 253-nucleotide ribosomal RNA is filed under the name uncultured bacterium. RNAcentral's name for it is "partial 16S ribosomal RNA". It matches the Rfam family "Bacterial small subunit ribosomal RNA", at positions 524 to 776 of the family's 1533-position model. The record is from RNAcentral.